RNAcentral lists this ribosomal RNA (259 nucleotides) under uncultured Staphylococcus sp. Its description in RNAcentral is "partial 16S ribosomal RNA". It matches the Rfam family "Bacterial small subunit ribosomal RNA", at positions 103 to 355 of the family's 1533-position model. The record is from RNAcentral. Lineage: Bacteria; Bacillati; Bacillota; Bacilli; Caryophanales; Staphylococcaceae.
CGGGUGAGUAACACGUGGAUAACCUACCUAUAAGACUGGGAUAACUUCGGGAAACCGGAGCUAAUACCGGAUAAUAUAUUGAACAGCAUGGUUCAAUAGUGAAAGACGGUUUUGCUGUCACUUAUAGAUGGAUCCGCGCCGCAUUAGCUAGUUGGUAAGGUAACGGCUUACCAAGGCAACGAUGCGUAGCCGACCUGAGAGGGUGAUAGGCCACACUGGAACUGAGACACGGUCCAGACUCCUACGGGAGGCAGCAGCA